RNAcentral lists this long non-coding RNA (207 nucleotides) under Brassica napus (rape). RNAcentral describes it as "long non-coding RNA (BNAP_LNC004606)". Lineage: Eukaryota; Viridiplantae; Streptophyta; Magnoliopsida; Brassicales; Brassicaceae. The record is from RNAcentral.
UCCCCCUUGAUCAUCCAUCUUGUAUUACGUGGUGCCUCGUUAAAAACUUAGUCAUGGAAAACCCAAUGGGAAAAACCGAAGUAAAAGUAAAAAGAGUACAACUAUGUAAGCUCCCCCUCGAAUGAGUAGUCAUAGAACCUUUAGAACAAUGAUAGAUUUUCAUCUCUCAAAUUGUAACAUUCUCUUUGAGUGUCUAUCUUUUGUAUG